RNAcentral lists this ribosomal RNA (486 nucleotides) under uncultured bacterium. RNAcentral's name for it is "partial 16S ribosomal RNA". It matches the Rfam family "Bacterial small subunit ribosomal RNA", at positions 28 to 507 of the family's 1533-position model. The record is from RNAcentral.
GAUGAACGCUGGCGGCGUGCUUAACACAUGCAAGUCGAACGGAAAGGCCACAGCUUGCUGUGGUACUCGAGUGGCGAACGGGUGAGUAACACGUGGGUGAUCUGCCCUGUACUUCGGGAUAAGCUUGGGAAACUGGGUCUAAUACCGGAUAGGAAUCACAUGUGGGUGUGUGGUUGGAAAGCUUUUGCGGUAUGGGAUGAGCUCGCGGCCUAUCAGCUUGUUGGUGGGGUAAUGGCCUACCAAGGCGUCGACGGGUAGCCGGCCGGAGAGGGGGUACGGCCACCCGGGAAGGGAGACACGGACCAGAGUCCUACGGGAGGCCGCAGUGGGGAAGGGGGGGCAAGGGGGGCAAGCCUGACCCAGGGAUACCGCGUGGGUGACGAAGGCCCGCGGGGGGUAAAGCCCGCUUGUGGGGGAAGAACAGCUGCGGACGGAAACCAGGCGAUCGUGACGGUACCUAAAAAAAAAGCACCGGCUAACUACGUG